Molecule: ribosomal RNA, 1225 nt
Filed under: Leptataspis fuscipennis
Lineage: Eukaryota; Metazoa; Arthropoda; Insecta; Hemiptera; Cercopidae
Description: SSU rRNA
Rfam family: Eukaryotic small subunit ribosomal RNA
Source: RNAcentral
GUGUUCCACGCUGUCGGUUCGCCGCCCGUCGGUGUUAACUGGCAUGUCCUGUGGAACGUCCUGCCGGUGGCGGUCCGGGCUCUCGGCUUGCGUAAAGGCUUACGCCCGAAGCAGGUCGAAAAGUUCCGGCCGCCGGUCCAAUCCCGCCACGGUGCUCUUUACCGAGUGUCGAGGUGGGCCGGCACGUUUACUUUGAACAAAUUAGAGUGCUUAAAGCAGGCUGGUGUCCGCCUGAAUACUGUGUGCAUGGAAUAAUGGAAUAGGACCUCGGUUCUAUUUUGUUGGUUUUCGGAACCCGAGGUAAUGAUUAAUAGGGACAGGCGGGGGCAUUCGUAUUGCGACGUUAGAGGUGAAAUUCUUGGAUCGUCGCAAGACGAACCUAAGCGAAAGCAUUUGCCAAGUAUGUUCUCGUUAAUCAAGAACGAAAGUUAGAGGUUCGAAGGCGAUCAGAUACCGCCCUAGUUCUAACCAUAAACGAUGCCAGCCAGCGAUCCGCCGAAGUUCCUCCGAUGACUCGGCGGGCAGCUUCCGGGAAACCAAAGCUUUUGGGUUCCGGGGGAAGUAUGGUUGCAAAGCUGAAACUUAAAGGAAUUGACGGAAGGGCACCACCAGGAGUGGAGCCUGCGGCUUAAUUUGACUCAACACGGGAAACCUCACCAGGCCCGGACACCGGAAGGAUUGACAGAUUGAGAGCUCUUUCUUGAUUCGGUGGGUGGUGGUGCAUGGCCGUUCUUAGUUGGUGGAGCGAUUUGUCUGGUUAAUUCCGAUAACGAACGAGACUCUAGCCUGCUAACUAGGCGAUUUCCGGUACCCACAAUAGUGUUACCGGCGAUUCAAUUUCUUCUUAGAGGGACAGGCGGCUCCUAGCCGCACGAGACUGAGCAAUAACAGGUCUGUGAUGCCCUUAGAUGUCCUGGGCCGCACGCGCGCUACACUGAAGGAAUCAGCGUGUCAUCCCUGGCCGACAGGCCCGGGUAACCCGUUGAACCUCCUUCGUGCUAGGGAUUGGGGCUUGCAAUUGUUCCCCAUGAACGAGGAAUUCCCAGUAAGCGCGAGUCAUAAGCUCGCGUUGAUUACGUCCCUGCCCUUUGUACACACCGCCCGUCGCUACUACCGAUUGAAUGAUUUAGUGAGGUCUUCGGACUGGUGCGCGGCGAUCGGUUCCACCGGCCGCCGAUGUUGCCGGAAAGAUGACCAAACUUGAUCAUUUAGAGGAAGUAAAAGU